RNAcentral lists this ribosomal RNA (279 nucleotides) under uncultured bacterium. RNAcentral describes it as "partial 16S ribosomal RNA". It matches the Rfam family "Bacterial small subunit ribosomal RNA", at positions 506 to 784 of the family's 1533-position model. The record is from RNAcentral.
UGCCAGCAGCCGCGGUAAUACAGAGGGUGCAAACGUUGUUCGGAAUUACUGGGCAUAAAGCGCACGUAGGCGGCCAGGUAAGUGUGAAGUGAAAUCCCACGGCUCACCCGUGGAACUGCUUUGCAUACUGCUUGGCUAGAGGAAGGUAGGGGAGAGCAGAACUCUUGGAGGAGCGGUGAAAUGCGUAGAUAUCAAGAGGAAUACCAGUGGCGAAGGCGGCUCUCUGGUCCUUUUCUGACGCUGAGGUGCGAAAGCUAGGGUAGCGAACGGGAUUAGAUA